AGCUGGAUCUAGUAAACCGUCUGAAAGGGCGGGACACAAAGCCACGGGGCCUAACGCGCCGUCCCCUGCGGGGGAGGGGGCCAUGGCAGCCCAGCCGCCGGA
Molecule: non-coding RNA, 102 nt
Filed under: Oscillibacter sp. 1-3
Lineage: Bacteria; Bacillati; Bacillota; Clostridia; Eubacteriales; Oscillospiraceae
Also listed under: 1 other name
Description: c-di-GMP-I riboswitch aptamer
Rfam family: c-di-GMP-I riboswitch aptamer
About the family: GEMM was predicted in a large-scale screen for bacterial structured RNA regulatory elements.
Source: Rfam by way of RNAcentral